AACUUGCCGGUCAUAUACCAUUGAUUCAGUGGUUUUAAAAUUUAUCCAAAAUUUAUCGAUCAGAUACUGUUUGCUACCAUUAGAAGUUGAAACAAACAUGAUUUUCUCACACCCAUGGAGUACCAUACAUUAAAAUUUUAUCAUUCACCACGAUCCAAACAAGUUGUUAGGGUUUCUUCCUUUUUUUAUGUAGAAACAAUGACUUUUAUAUAGUAGUUGAAAUUAAAUCGUAGCCUUCCAUUACAGAAUGAGAUUUGGACCGUUGAUCUCUUAUUUCCUUUUAAAAUUUUUAAGUUUUUUCUCCCAUUUUUUAUUGGGAUGAUACACACAUACUUGGAUUUGAGAUGAAAAUAUAGAAAAAUAUAUAAUUGUAAACCGUUGAACUUUUCUGGGUUUUUUUUCCCUCUUUUUUCUAUGUCAUCUGAAAAGCUAAUUUAAGCUUGACCCAAACAUUUGCUUCAAAUUGGCACCUAACAGAAAAGCCCAACACAAGUGGAUCAUAGUUUAUCCACUAUCUAUAUAAAU
RNAcentral lists this long non-coding RNA (525 nucleotides) under Carica papaya (papaya). Its description in RNAcentral is "long non-coding RNA (CPAP_LNC002514)". The record is from RNAcentral. Lineage: Eukaryota; Viridiplantae; Streptophyta; Magnoliopsida; Brassicales; Caricaceae.